This 666-nucleotide ribosomal RNA is filed under the name Hepatozoon canis. RNAcentral describes it as "bacterial SSU rRNA". It matches the Rfam family "Eukaryotic small subunit ribosomal RNA", at positions 167 to 821 of the family's 1831-position model. The record is from RNAcentral. Lineage: Eukaryota; Apicomplexa; Hepatozoidae.
AUACAUGAGCAAAAUCUCAACUUUAUUAGAAGAGACGCAUUUAUUAGAUAAAAAGCCAAUGCAUGCUUUUACAGUAUGAAAAUUGGUGAUUUAUAAUAACUUAGCAAAUCGCAAAGUGAAAACAGGCGAUAAAUCAUUCAAGUUUCUGACCUAUCAGCUUUCGACGGUAUGGUAUUGGCUUACCGUGGCAGUGACGGUUAACGGGGGAUUAGGGUUCGAUUCCGGAGAGGGAGCCUGAGAAACGGCUACCACAUCUAAGGAAGGCAGCAGGCGCGCAAAUUACCCAAUUCUAACAGUUUGAGAGAGGUAGUAACAAGAAAUAACAAUACAAGGCAGUUAAAAUGCUUUGUAAUUGGAAUGAUAGAAAUUUAAACCCUUUUUAAAGUAUCAAUUGGAGGGCAAGUCUGGUGCCAGCAGCCGCGGUAAUUCCAGCUCCAAUAGCGUAUAUUAAAAUUGUUGCAGUUAAAAAGCUCGUAGUUGAAGUUCUGCUAAAAGUAACCGGUCUGCUUUUAAUAAAGGUGGUAUCUUGGUGUGUAUUUAGCAAUGAUGUCCUUUGAAGUGUUUUUUACUUUAUUGUAAUAAAGCAUAUUCAGGACUUUUACUUUGAGAAAAUUAGAGUGUUUCUAGCAGGCUCACGCUUUGAAUACUGCAGCAUGGAAUAAUAAG